UGACGACCAUAGCGACUUGGUACCACUCCUUCCCAUCCCGAACAGGACAGUGAAACGAGUCAGCGCCGAUGAUAGUGCGGAUCCCCGUGUGAAAGUAGGACAUCGUC
This 107-nucleotide ribosomal RNA is filed under the name Curvibacter sp. AEP1-3. The record is from RNAcentral. Lineage: Bacteria; Pseudomonadati; Pseudomonadota; Betaproteobacteria; Burkholderiales; Comamonadaceae. RNAcentral also lists the same sequence under 1 other name.